UACGUAGGGUGCGAGCGUUGUCCGGAAUUAUUGGGCGUAAAGAGCUCGUAGGCGGUGCGGUAAGUCUGCGGUGAAAUCUCCCGGCUCAACUGGGAGGCUGCCGUGGAAACUGCCGUGCUUGAGUGUGGGAGAGGUGAGUGGAAUUCCCGGUGUAGCGGUGAAAUGCGUAGAUAUCAGGAGGAACACCGGUGGCGAAGGCGGUUCUCUGGGCCUUACCUGACACUGAGGAGCGAAAGCGUGGGGAGCGAACAGG
RNAcentral lists this ribosomal RNA (253 nucleotides) under uncultured bacterium. Its description in RNAcentral is "partial 16S ribosomal RNA". It matches the Rfam family "Bacterial small subunit ribosomal RNA", at positions 524 to 776 of the family's 1533-position model. The record is from RNAcentral.